GGCGGCGGCAUGCUUCACAUGCUAUGUCGAACGCGAAAAGGGGGCACCCCUGAGUAGAGUGGCGAACGGGUGAGUAAUACAUCGGAACGUGUCCAGUAGCGGGGGAUAACCUCUCGAAAGAGAGGCUAAUACCGUAUACGACCUACGGGUGAAAGAGGGGGAUCGUAAGACCUCUCACUAUUGGAGCGGCCGAUGUCGGAUUAGCUAGUUGGUGGGGUAAAGGCCUACCAAGGCGACGAUCCGUAGCUGGUCUGAGAGGACGAUGCAGCCAGACUGGAACUGAGACACGGUCCAGACUCCUAACGGGAGGCAGCAGUGGGGAAUUUUGGACAAUGGGCGCAAGCCUGAUCCAGCCAUGCCGCGUGAGUGACGAAGGCCUUCGGGUUGUAAAGCUCUUUCGGCGGGGACGAACAGGUUCGUGUUAAUACCGCGAAUCCAUGACGGUACCCGCAGAAGAAGCACCGGCUAACUACGUGCCAGCAGCCGCGGUAAUACGUAGGGUGCAGGCGUUAAUCGGAAUUACUGGGCGUAAAGCGUGCGCAGGCGGUUUGCUAAGACAGGUGUGACAUCCCCGGGCUUAACCUGGGAAC
This 590-nucleotide ribosomal RNA is filed under the name uncultured soil bacterium. Its description in RNAcentral is "bacterial SSU rRNA". It matches the Rfam family "Bacterial small subunit ribosomal RNA", at positions 35 to 621 of the family's 1533-position model. The record is from RNAcentral.